GACGAACGCUGGCGGCGUGCUUAACACAUGCAAGUCGAACGGAAAGGCCCUGCUUGCCGGGUACUCGAGUGGCGAACGGGUGAGUAACACGUGGGUGAUCUGCCCUGCACUUCGGGAUAAGCCUGGGAAACUGGGUCUAAUACCGGAUAGGAGCCAUUUUUAGUGUGAUGGUUGGAAAGUUUUUUCGGUGUAGGAUGAGCUCGCGGCCUAUCAGCUUGUUGGUGGGGUAAUGGCCUACCAAGGCGGCGACGGGUAGCCGGCCUGAGAGGGUGGGCGGCCACAGUGGGACUGAGAUCCGGCCCAGACACCUACGGGAGGCAGCAGUGGGGAAUAUUGCACAAUGGGCGCAAGCCUGAUGCAGCGACGCCGCGUGGGGGAUGACGGCCUUCGGGUUGUAAACGCCUUUCGCUAGGGACGAAGCUUUUUGUGACGGUACCUAGAUAAGAAGCACCGGCUAACUACGUG
This 465-nucleotide ribosomal RNA is filed under the name uncultured bacterium. Its description in RNAcentral is "partial 16S ribosomal RNA". It matches the Rfam family "Bacterial small subunit ribosomal RNA", at positions 28 to 507 of the family's 1533-position model. The record is from RNAcentral.